CGCACCUUGCGCUCCUUGGUAUUCCGAGGAGCAUGCCUGUUUGAGUGUCAUUAAUUUCUCAACCUUACCAGCUUUGCUGCUUGGUAUGGCUUGGAUGUGGGGGUGUUUUGCAGGCUUUCACAAGUCAGCUCCCCUGAAAUGCAUUAGCGGUACCCUUCUGUGGUAAACGGCUAUUGGUGUGAUAACUAUCUACGCCAUUAGACACCCACAACUUAUAUGGGGGGUUAUGCUGCUUCUAACAGUCCUUUGGACAAUUUUAAAUGACAAUUUUGACCUCAAAUCAGGUAGGAUUACCCGCUGAACUUAA
This 307-nucleotide unclassified non-coding RNA is filed under the name Crepidotus inhonestus. RNAcentral describes it as "partial contains 5.8S ribosomal RNA, internal transcribed spacer 2, and large subunit ribosomal RNA". The record is from RNAcentral. Lineage: Eukaryota; Fungi; Basidiomycota; Agaricomycetes; Agaricales; Crepidotaceae.